GACAAACACCAAAACCAUUCAUUCAUAAUAAUAGUAUAAACAACUAAUAGUAUCAAUUUAAAAUUAUCACGUGACCGACCGAUGAUAUCACAUGAACUAUAACAACAACUAAUCUGGAAUUCAGUACCAGUCAAAGCAGAAUCACAUGAUCCCACUUGCAUCCCCCAGCACAUCAGAUCUUGGAAUUAAUAAAUACAAAUCUCACCAAAACACGCCACUAAGGCUCACUCCCCUCCCCUCCCCUCGACACAAUUACAAUUUCAAUCAUGAAGGCCAACGCCCACUCUAGAACAUUGGCUGCUUUUGUUUUAGCACUCUUCUUUUUCUUAUUCUUCUUCAUUCUGCAUACCUGCUGCCCUGGUGGAGCCGAAGCAGCACGUCUCCUCAGGACAAAAGCCUAUUCUUCAUCUUCACAAGCUCUCAUCAUCCCGGCAGACAACAAGUACCCUUUCCCUUUCACUAGCUUUCGGAAGAUAUCACCAAGCACGUAUAAUCCCACGCAGAACAAGUAACUUCUUAACACUCGUGCAUUUUCAAGCCUUUCAACCAUACUCAGCUUUGAUUAGAUUCAUAUAAUGCUGCUCUUGUGCCAGGUCCAAGUCUCCGUGAGCAGAGUAGCAGAGCAGCAAAUAAUCCUUGGCAUACAUUCUUUUUUUCACUUUUGCUAAUAUAGUCUUAAGUUUAAAUUUAAAAACAAAUAAGACACUUGAGUAAUACUUACAAACAAACAUAGUUCGGGUGACUAAAGACUAGAGUAUACAUUUUUUAGUUUUUUACAAUUUACCCUUUUA
This 791-nucleotide long non-coding RNA is filed under the name Panax ginseng (ginseng). Its description in RNAcentral is "long non-coding RNA (PGIN_LNC010742)". The record is from RNAcentral. Lineage: Eukaryota; Viridiplantae; Streptophyta; Magnoliopsida; Apiales; Araliaceae.